This is a long non-coding RNA of Sinocyclocheilus grahami, 578 nucleotides long. RefSeq lists it as uncharacterized. NCBI's taxonomy places the organism in Eukaryota, Metazoa, Chordata, Actinopteri, Cypriniformes, Cyprinidae. The record is from RefSeq and is a predicted model, not a curated record. The transcript is spliced from 3 exons.
CUUCUUUCGGUCUUCAGCAUCACAGCAGUUGAAAUGUUGUUGCAGCCGUGCCUGUUAAGUCCUCGGUGAGCUGGGUUAAGCACUCGUUGGAAGUUCUAGUCUUCCGCAGUCCAGUUGAUGCCUAAACUGCGGGUCGUGCUGCUGUUUUCCUUCUGUUUUCCUUAGUUUGGGUUGUUGUGGUGUGAAGAUGGAGUUUAUGCAUUUCCUUUUGUGUGUGGGUUUUGUGUUUGUUUUGAGCGUGGUGGUUCGAGUGAGUUGUUUAGGCCGAAUUGGUAGUGGGUCCUCCACUUAAAAUCUCAUUCUAAGUGGUACUGGUUUGUUGCCAGUGAGGUAGGACGCUACUUUACUCCAUUAAUUGGCCUUUUUGUUUAGUAAUUGUGAUUUUGUUCUUUUUUCCUUUUCUUGAGUGAAUAUUUGAUAUUUGUAUUUUUAUUGGACCCACUAACUUCUUUUUGUUAGUUCAAGGCUGAGCACGCCGAAGGGGAGGCUAGUCACCUGGGUGAAGCACUUUGUUGUGAGUUUGGAGCACCCGGGUUUGAGCACCUCUUCCUAUUGUUUGCUGAGCACAUGUUUGGUUG